Molecule: long non-coding RNA, 392 nt
Filed under: Setaria italica (foxtail millet)
Lineage: Eukaryota; Viridiplantae; Streptophyta; Magnoliopsida; Poales; Poaceae
Description: long non-coding RNA (SITA_LNC001747)
Source: RNAcentral
GGGACGCCGUCGUCGCCGCCGGCCUGCCCUUCUUCCCCAUAACCCGGGGCCGCAUGGACACCCGCACGCCCGCUCCCGACGUGCUCGGGAACCUCCCGUCGCCAUCCGACUCGGUGGGCAAUCUCCUCGACAUGUUCCGCCGCAAGGGCCUCGGCGACGACCCGCGCGUCCUGGUGGCCCUCUCCGGCGGGCACACCGUCGGCAAGACCAGCUGCGGCCUGAUCAGGGGGAACGACGAUUUCUCCAGGGCCCUGGCGGCCAACUGCUCCGCCAGCCGGAGCAGGAAGCAGAGCCUGGACGUGAUCACGCCGGACGCCUUCGACAACAGGUACUUCGUGGCGCUGAGGAACGGCAAGGGGGUGCUCGGGUCCGACCAGGGGCUGGCCGACCAC